UUCUGCUUGGCUGCUCCCGUGGAUCGUGGUCCGCCGCCGUCUCCGUCUGCCCCUCCCAGCUCCCCCUGCCCCCAGCCGUCCAGGUCCAACGCGUGCGCAGUACCACCUGCUGACCGCUCCGCGCUAGGCCAACCUCGCCGUUCUCCUGCACCCGGGCCCCGGCCGGCGCGCGCCGGCUCUCCCUUGGCUGCUCCCCUGCCAGCCUCCGCCCAGGCCGCCGUGCUGCCGCCGCCGCCGGGCAUUACAGCAUUGGCUAAUUAUUUUGUACCGAGAGGAUGAGUGAGAGGAUGAAGCCAUUCCGCUCCGCCAAGCUGCUACAAACUAUGCGUUUAUGUAUGCGUGAACACGCCAGAGCAGCAACUUCGUUCAGAUAUUGUCCCAAUGCCUUGCAUUUUGUUAUGCACUUCACAUGGCCAGAGCAAAACCAGAGCAGCAAGCAAUACUGAGCCUGAAGGGUUUACAUGAUAGGCAUGCAAACUGGAUGAAAGCAUCUCCUUGGCCAAUUGGUGCAAAUCCAUGCCUGUCGAUGGUGAUGAUGGUUUUUAUCCUACUGGGAAUGAUCUGGUGCUCUUCUAUACUCGGUAGUUAGCUACAUUUGCCAUUAUGUCUAGAUGUGGAUGGUUCAUCCCUUGCAUGGUUAAAACAACUCUGGACAGUAAGUUUAUUACAAAGUAUCGCAUAUUCAAGAUUUUAACUAGGUAUAUUUUGGCUUCUCCAGGAAUAUCAUUUACUCUUUUGACAUAUCAGCAUAAUUUCUAAGCUUCCACUUAAAUAAUUAUUGUUUAUGCACUAAUUUUUCCCUUCAAGAUUCAUGUGCAACAAAGUAGUAUAUGUAACUAUGUGUGCGUGUAACUGAGAUACAAUUUGAAUUGUAGCUAAGGACUCGGGACUAGUGGGCCGUAUGUGUCAAUUUAUGCUGCCCUGUCAUUUUGCCAAACAUCAGAAGCAGAGUAAAACAUGUCAUGCUUAGUGCAGUGUUCUGGCAUCUGAUCUCACCUACCUUCUAAAAAAGUCUGUUCGCAAACUUAAAAAGUUUCUCAAAAAUUGAACACAUGCACAUAUUUGGGUAUUAAGUUCACUUUUCAAAUAAAUUCCGUGCAAAAAGCUACUAUGUUAGCCUUCAUCAUUUUAUUAUUUUUGCACUGCACAAAGAUUUGCAGAUGCAAAUAGUACUCGAAUAUGUACAUGUGUGAUUUUCUUCUUGAGUUUUGAAAAUAUCAAUUUGUUUUCGAUGUAAUUCUCUUGUACAAGGAAAUGGAACAAGGAGGUCACAUCACACCUAGAUAAUUAGGAAAACAGCUGCUCUUUGGUUCUUUCUGGUUGGAGGCAAUUCGGUGAUUCCAAGGGGACAAGCUUAGCAGAGAAACAUUACACCUGCCAUGAUUCCCUUCCAUUCAUUCCAGGAAGAGCUUUGCCAUUACCAUUUCCAUUGCCAUCACCAUGGCUGCCACUCCCGUCUCCCCGGUGUUCCCAGACCUUCCCUUGAUGGCUCACGAUGACAGCAACCACUUUGCCGUGCAGGAUCAACUGUCACUCCCAUAUAUCACACAAAUCCUCAUGGAGGAGGAGGAUGACGUUGAUGAAGAUAACCCUGCGCUCCUCAAAGCCCAGCAGCCCUUUGCCCAAAUCCUCUUUUCCAGCAUGCAUGCCUCCACCUUAAUGGCGGACAAAGGCAGCGCCUUGGCCAGUGACGUGCACUCUCCCAGCUCGGCCAUCUUCAAGUUCAAGGGUGUUGAUGAGGUCCGCAGCUUGCUGUUGCUCGCCAAUGGAGAGUACAACACUCACAUCUUUAGCACUGCUUUCCUCAAGGGCAUGGAAGAGGCGAAGAAGUUGUUGCCCACAAACUGUGAGCUGACCGCCACCGGUGAGCAGUGUUAGGAAUAUGCAACUUGUAUUCCCAUGAGGCCAUAGGCCGAUAUAUAUAUACAUGUACAGGUGUGGAACAUAUGCAGGAAACCCCUUA
Long non-coding RNA from Triticum aestivum (bread wheat), 1963 nucleotides. RefSeq lists it as uncharacterized. The transcript has 4 exons. NCBI's taxonomy places the organism in Eukaryota, Viridiplantae, Streptophyta, Magnoliopsida, Poales, Poaceae. The record is from RefSeq and is a predicted model, not a curated record.